AAUAUUUUAGUUGGAUAACUGAGGUAAUUCUUGAGCUAAUACACGCUAUUUAUACCACAUUAGUGGUGCGUUUAUUUGAUUAAACCAUUAUAACGGUUGACUCAAAAUAUCCUUGCUGAUUUUGUUACUAAAACAUACCGUAUGUGUAUCUGGUUUAUCAACUUUCGAUGGUAGGGUAUUGGCCUACCAUGGUUGUGACGGAUAACGGAGAAUUAGGGUUCGACUCCGGAGAGGGAGCCUGAGAAACGGCUACCACAUCCAAGGAAGGCAGCAGGCGCGAAAAUUACCCAAUUUUAGUUCAAAGAGGUAGUGACGAAAAAUGACAACCAAAUAUUAUUAUUAAUAUUUGGAUUGAAAAUCUUCAAGUUUAAAUAACUUGUUGGUAAAGGAAAGGGCAAGUCUGGUGCCAGCAGCCGCGGUAAUACCAGCUUU
This 432-nucleotide ribosomal RNA is filed under the name Strongyloides fuelleborni. RNAcentral describes it as "SSU rRNA". It matches the Rfam family "Eukaryotic small subunit ribosomal RNA", at positions 129 to 592 of the family's 1831-position model. Lineage: Eukaryota; Metazoa; Nematoda; Chromadorea; Rhabditida; Strongyloididae. The record is from RNAcentral.